UGGUUUGUGGCUAAGAGGUAAGGUGUUGGUCUUGUAAACCAAAAAUCAUGGGUUCAGUCCCCAUCCAUGCCUA
Molecule: non-coding RNA, 73 nt
Organism: Caranx melampygus (bluefin trevally)
Lineage: Eukaryota; Metazoa; Chordata; Actinopteri; Carangiformes; Carangidae
Source: the annotation of a GenBank genome assembly